GUCUGUUGCGCAACUGCCGCCCACCCCCAUUCCAAUGGUGGCUUAGCUUUGCGACAAAGCUGUGGGGCUGCAGCCACAUCGGACUUGUAGCCUCCGACCUCUGACCUCAGGCCCGCCCGGGCGCUGAUACCCGGAAGUGAAUGGGAGCCGUCCUGCUGGGAAAGGAAUCCUCACCCUUGCAAACUGUUUACCUCACGUUUAUCCCCGUACGUUCGUCCAAGCCUAAUACAAACUGUGACCGGGAAUUUAUGAUUGAUCACUGUGGGGGAGGCAGAACCUCCCAGGAACCUGGAUGGAAUCCGACCCGGAAGUCGCAACAACACGGACAGACUGUCCCAGCUCAAGCUGACCACGGCCAGCCCAGGCCACCCCGUGCGCCUCUGGGGAACCCUCGGACUCCACUGUCCUCUCCUCUUUCCCUUCUCAGCCUGCUCCCAGUCCGGACUCCUGACUGAGCCGCAAGUCACCUUCCUACCGUGCGACGUUACUCCCUUUGCGAUCCUUAUGACCCGCCCUCAAAGCCACACUGCCUUCUGUGUGUGCUUCGGGAGAAAUAGGUCGCACGCUAUAAUUCAUGACGCUGCCUGCCUCUCGCUUGGAGCCCAGAUUAUAUAUUUCCAUUAAAGAAAGUUGGGGGAAAUUGUGAGCCACUGGAAAGAAGGUGGUCAUUUUUAGCCUGUCAGCCCAGUUUGGACUGGCAUUGGUUACCAAAACAAGGAUGACAGAGCUUCAUUAUCACCCUUGUCUCAAAUUCUUGAAGAUCCUGAAGGUAUUUUUCAGCGCCUGCUUCCACUUUCCUCAGGCAAAGAAAACUUUGAAGGAAGCAUGCUAGUCUUAUUUGAGACUGUCCUCAGCCUUUGGUGCCCAGUUACCUGUUGAUCCCUUCAAGCUUCAGGCCUCGUACCUCCAGGGAACUGUGUUGUUCCAUCUGAAGGUCUGUCUACAGGAAGAUUUGGAUUUGCUGUCCAGAUUGAAACACGGUUAGCUUCUCCUCGGGUCCUUGUUCAACUCCCCACUGGCUGGGACAAGUGGCACCUGAUGUGGGUGCCCAAGGUACGAAGUGUGACCUGGGCGUCGUUCGAGUGGAUGGCUGUCCUCACCAUUGGAUCGCCACCCCACCAGGGUGAGUGAAGAUCCGCAUAGAUCACUACAGGCAAUACACCUGUAAAACAGAUCUGCUCCAUGGUCACCACAUAAGAAACCCGCCUGUGAUACAGACCCGCUAAGAUUGAAGCCAUUAAGAUGCAGCCUUUACAGGUCCAUUAUCACAGACUGGAGCUGGU
Molecule: long non-coding RNA, 1283 nt
Organism: Jaculus jaculus (lesser Egyptian jerboa)
Lineage: Eukaryota; Metazoa; Chordata; Mammalia; Rodentia; Dipodidae
Exons: 3
Source: RefSeq, a predicted model, not a curated record